Molecule: ribosomal RNA, 716 nt
Filed under: uncultured bacterium
Lineage: Bacteria
Description: bacterial SSU rRNA
Rfam family: Bacterial small subunit ribosomal RNA
Source: RNAcentral
AGAGUUUGAUCCUGGCUCAGAUUGAACGCUGGCGGCAUGCCUUACACAUGCAAGUCGAACGGCAGCGCGGACUUCGGUCUGGCGGCGAGUGGCGAACGGGUGAGUAAUACAUCGGAACGUACCCUGUUGUGGGGGAUAACUAGUCGAAAGAUUAGCUAAUACCGCAUACGACCUGAGGGUGAAAGUGGGGGACCGCAAGGCCUCACGCAGCAGGAGCGGCCGAUGUCUGAUUAGCUAGUUGGUGGGGUAAAGGCCCACCAAGGCGACGAUCAGUAGCUGGUCUGAGAGGACGAUCAGCCACACUGGGACUGAGACACGGCCCAGACUCCUACGGGAGGCAGCAGUGGGGAAUUUUGGACAAUGGGGGCAACCCUGAUCCAGCAAUGCCGCGUGUGUGAAGAAGGCCUUCGGGUUGUAAAGCACUUUUGUCCGGAAAGAAAUCGCGCUGGUUAAUACCUGGCGUGGAUGACGGUACCGGAAGAAUAAGCACCGGCUAACUACGUGCCAGCAGCCGCGGUAAUACGUAGGGUGCGAGCGUUAAUCGGAAUUACUGGGCGUAAAGCGUGCGCAGGCGGUUUUGUAAGACAGGCGUGAAAUCCCCGGGCUUAACCUGGGAAUUGCGCUUGUGACUGCAAGGCUAGAGUGCGUCAGAGGGGGGUAGAAUUCCACGUGUAGCAGUGAAAUGCGUAGAGAUGUGGAGGAAUACCGAUGGCGAA